This is a long non-coding RNA of Corvus hawaiiensis (hawaiian crow), 4308 nucleotides long. RefSeq lists it as uncharacterized. The record is from RefSeq and is a predicted model, not a curated record. The transcript has 3 exons. NCBI's taxonomy places the organism in Eukaryota, Metazoa, Chordata, Aves, Passeriformes, Corvidae.
GCUGGGCGGGACCCAUCGCUGGGCUGCGGGGCGGGGACCCGGGCUGGCUGUGCCCUCGGGCGGGCGGAGAAAUGGCGGCCGUGGGGUGACCUGCGCCCGCCUGCCAGCGCCGCAGGCUGAGGGGUCGGCAGCGGGAUCGGCCCAGCGGGGCUGUGAGGGGGCGCGGGGGCUACAAAUGCUGUGGGUCUUCCUCGCCCGCCUUGGGUUCUGCCGCACUCUUGUGCUUGUUUCUUCCCCGGAGCUCUCGAGGUGUUGCGCGCACGCCGCCUCUGGAGGGUGGGAAGUGCCUUUGUGUAUGGAUGCCUGCUCUGCCAUUCCAGCAUGAUAAAAAAUGGAGCUUUUAGCUCACUGCUUGCUCUCCAGGUACAGCUUCUGAGGCCAGGGGAGGAGGAACAGCAGUCUGAGGUGAGACAGCAUUGAAAGAACCUCAUUAAAUGCUUUUAGAGACCUCUGAGAAGAACUGUUGAGAUGCUUAAAAAUUGAAUAUUACCUGCUUCACAACUGUAGUGUUGUUUGAAGCAUGACUUUCCCAUUCUACCCAUCUUUACUUAAUAAUGAAAAUUAAGUGCUACACUUAGAGAUACUGCUACUUUUUACCUUAGAUAGUUUUUCUACAGACACAACAGUUCUUCAUGUUUUUAUGAUUGCAGUACUUGGCCAAGGAUGAAAACAAUAAUCUGAUUCCUUACAAACUUUCAGUGAUACGCAAAAAUCUGAUGGAUAAAAGGAUUUUCUGAGGCCAAAACUAAUACCCAUAUUUACUCAUUUGUUGUUUUUAAAUUAAGCUCUUUUUUUAGCAGCUGAGCAGCAAAAGUUUUGGUAACUCUAGGAGGAUAUUCCUCUAAAUAUAUUUUAAUGUAAACCUUUCCUUUGUCAACAGAUCUCAGAUUUUUGUUGCUGAAGAAUAUGUUGUUUUAACAGCACACAUCUAUAAAGAUUUUAAAGGACUUAAAAGAUGCUUAUUUUAGGCAAAUUUUUACUAUGAUUUAAACAAGAUGAGGAAAACAAUAUGUUCUGAAUUUUCAAAAGCUUGUAUACUUGCCUUUAUACCAAUUCUGACCUUAGUAAAUUAUAUUGUGGUGAAACAACUGUGAAACUGAUAAUGUAAGUAUUUGCAAUCAGUUGACAGCAUUGCAUGUGAAAAUGAAAUACUUCUCUCUGAUACAGAACAUAGAAUUGCAGCAUUUGAAAAAUUAUAAUUGUAACUAUAAGUCAUAUUCCUCUUUCUCUCUUCAAUGAGUGUUGUAAUAGUCUUCCUUAGCAUCCAACUACAAAAAAUAAACAUGCUGCUGAAACAAUUUUUUCUGACAAUGAAAUACUUGAAAAUAGAACUGAUUGAUGCACAGUACUCGCUUCACUGAUUUACAAUUGAGCUUUUGGAUGCACUCUCAGAUUUUGCAAGAUAAAUGUAUACAACAAGUUACUAAUUAACUCUGGUUAUAAGCUAAGAGAAAACAUGUAGUAAAGCAAAAAGAAGAACCUCUGAGCUGAAAUAUGCCAGGUGGAUGUGAAACAGGUCUAUGUGGGUUUUUUGCCAGUUUGCCAGUUUUGACUUCAGUCCCAGUUAAAUAAAUUAUAUGUAGUUUCAGUUAUUGUGUAUAUCCUUAAGUAUUCUUUUUUGUUGUACCUUCCAAAACAAGAAGUGUGUUUGUUGAAACUUAAGAUUUUUUUCAACGUGUAAAAUAAAUUUUAAUUUAGUAUAGCUUUCAUUUCAAUAGAAUUUGAAGCAUAGCAUAGUCUAGGUUUUAGUGUUGUAAUUAUAAUAGUUCUUAACAAUUUGUAAUACAAACUAUAGAGUCCAGAGCAUAAAAGGAAAGGUAAAAAUAUGUGUAUUUUCAGAUCUUGAAUAGGAUUGCCCAGUCAACAAAGGAAAUGUGUCGUGUAUAUGUACAAACUGAAUAAUUCGUAGUAUAUCUAAACGUAGAACUAAUUAUUUAGUUUAACUGGACAUAGGUAUGAAUUUAUCUUCAUUGUUCACUUUGGGUGAACUGACUUCAGAAACUUAAGGACAAACCUUUGUCACGUUCCUAAUUCAGCACGGCCUAACCACGACCAACAAGGUGAGGAGCAGUUCACACCUCCUCCGGCCAAGCCCCUUCAGGCUGUGCUGCCUGAGGUUCCUGCUGAAGGUGACACUGCAGCAAGAGCUGCCUUUCAGAAUUUGGAAAUUCAGCCAGUAUGGACAAAAGUAUUAACAUUUAUGUCUGUCUUUAGUUUUUGCAUUUCAGUAGUUCAGAUUUCACUGAAAAUUCUUUGAGAUCUUCAGCACAUGGAAGAUUAGAAUCAGUAAUUUAGUAUUAUAACGAGGAGUAAUUAAGGCCUUUCCUAGAUACCAGAAGGCGAUCAAGCAAAGCUCUUUUCUUCCUUUCCAAGUCUCAUCUGGUGCUAUCAAGAUUAAAUGAAGUGCAACUCAUGGUUAAUGAAGUUUUUACUCUUCUAUUAAAAUAAAAUUUAGUCUCUUAAAAUGCUUCCCUUUUGCCUUUCAUGCAUAAUUUCUGUCCAUACUUUGUCUAUUUUAGUGUAUUCGUAUGCCAUAUUUAGCCCAGACAAAUGUUUUUAGAUUUUACUAACUUCAAAACAUUGUCAAGUAGACACACAAGUGUGUCUUCUCUAUAUAUUGACAGCCUGAUUCACAUGCCUCUAAGUUCAUCUAAGACUCUUUCCACUAUUGCACAGAAAAGAAAUGACCUUUCAGGGAAAUACCUAUCAGUGUUUCAAUCAAUGCUGCUGCUUUUCAGUUAGGAUUAUUAAAAAUCUCAAACCUUAAUCUCCUAGAACUGCAGAACAACUGCAUUUUAGAUGCUGGUUUUUUUGGAGUCCAGUUUAAGAGGGUGAUUUGUAGCAGUAGGUACUAGAGUGAUUAAUGAGAUUUCAGUAGUUUUUUCCAUAGCUUCCUGCCUAGAGGGAGAAAAAAAAAAAAAAGAAAGAAAAAUCAACAAACAAACAAACCGACUUCAAACCCAUAAUGGCAGAUUAGUUGUGUGCCUUUCACUGCUUCUUGUAAAAUGUUAAUGGCCUCCUAAAGGUUUCGUUUUUGAAUGAGAACCAUCUAAGCAAGAAUUUUAGCAGAUGCAGAGGACAUUCAAGGAACUUGUGAAAGUUCCUUAUGUUCUGCUUUAUAAAGUCUGUUAGGCAAAUUUGGCACAGGCUGUGAAUCUAACCCUGAUUUCCAAGCAUUUAAAGGGUCCAAAUAAAAUGCCAUUCUGUAAUAAUUUUAUUUUUUCCCUUUUUUUCAAGUGUAUAUUAAGUACACAUCUGAGGAAGCAAUAUUGUACUCCUUUAUUUUAGAUUUAGGUAGCAGUCACAAGAGAUUAAAUGCCGUUACGUGUAACAAAGCAUGAAGAUGACAAGAUACAUAAACCUGGGGCUUUUCAGCUCCAUCACAUCAUCCAGCAUGUAAUGAUGCAGAUUUUGUAUUUCAGACACCAGUGUCACCUUGGGGUUGAAAUCACUCUAGAUGAAUCUGUGUGAGUAAGUAUGAGUAAGAUAGCUCCCCACACCCCAAUUACCUUCCUAUUUUAAAAAUAGAAAGGAAAAUGAGUCGUCCUGAGUUAAGACAUGAGUUGUUUGUGUGUGGUAUUUGUGAUGGAAGAUUCUUUCUAAAAUAAACACAGUAGUAAAUGGUCUGCUUUUUUCCUCUCAUAUUUUAAGGGGACAGGUUGCUUUUAGUGACGGAGUACUAGACUGGACUGAUCCUGGUCUCUUUUAGGGCAUUAGUACUUGACUAAUACAUACAGCACUAUCUAUUAGAGUCAUUAAUUGUAUCAAGCAAAAUAUUUUUUCUGCAGUUUUUUUAUUAAAUUUCUUUAAAGCCACAUGCAGGAUGUUACUUCCCAUGUUGUAUUUUAGUUCCAGCAACUCUAACAUGGAUGAUAUGGUGAUGGACUUCUGAAAUCCUGAAGAACAUGAAUCUGACAGGGAGCCUAGGUGGGACUUAAAAAAAAAAUUACAAAUCAUUCAACUACUAUUACAAAAAUUUUAUAAAUGCUGAAUAAGGGUGUCAAUUAAUAAAUGUUUCAGCCUCUAUUAAUUUAGUUCCUUCACUUCAUUACAGAAAGACACUAUUGAUCCAAAAUUUAUUAGGAGUGUUCUGCUAAAGCCAGCAGAGGGCAGACUUGAAUUGGAAACCCUUUUUGCUACUGCAGUUACUUGAACUUAAAAUACCAGAUAGUCCCUUGAGCUCAAAGUCUCAUCACUACUUUACUAUUCUAAUUACACUUGUGCUGGAUAAAAGCUUCUUUGCAGUUACUGUUUGACAAAAUGAGUGUUUUGCGAAAAUUUAAAUAAAGACGUUAAUACGAAAGUGAA